GACAGAGGGUGCAAACGUUUGUUCGGAAUUACUGGGCGUAAAGCGCGUGUAGGCGGUUAUGCAAGUCGGGUGUGAAAGCCCAGGGCUCAACCCUGGAAGUGCAUUCGAUACUGCGUAGCUAGAGUACCGGAGAGGGUGGUGGAACUCUGGGUGUAGAGGUGAAAUUCGUAGAAUAUCCAGAAGAACACCGGUGGCGAAGGCGGCCACCUGGACGGAUACUGACGGCUGAGACGCGAAAGCGUGGGGAGCAAACAGG
Molecule: ribosomal RNA, 256 nt
Filed under: uncultured bacterium
Lineage: Bacteria
Description: partial 16S ribosomal RNA
Rfam family: Bacterial small subunit ribosomal RNA
Source: RNAcentral